This 445-nucleotide ribosomal RNA is filed under the name uncultured bacterium. RNAcentral describes it as "partial 16S ribosomal RNA". It matches the Rfam family "Bacterial small subunit ribosomal RNA", at positions 331 to 792 of the family's 1533-position model. The record is from RNAcentral.
CCAGACUCCUACGGGAGGCAGCAGUCGGGAAUAUUGCGCAAUGGAGGAAACUCUGACGCAGUGACGCCGCGUAUAGGAAGAAGGUCUUCGGAUUGUAAACUAUUGUCGUUAGGGAAGAAAAAGGACAGUACCUAAGGAGGAAGCUCCGGCUAACUACGUGCCAGCAGCCGCGGUAAUACGUAGGGAGCAAGCGUUAUCCGGAUUUAUUGGGUGUAAAGGGUGCGUAGACGGGAUAAUAAGUUAGUUGUGAAAUCCCUCGGCUCAACUGAGGAACUGCAACUAAAACUGUUAUUCUUGAGUGUUGGAGAGGAAAGCGGAAUUCCUAGUGUAGCGGUGAAAUGCGUAGAUAUUAGGAGGAACACCAGUGGCGAAGGCGGCUCUCUGGACUGUAACUGACACUGAGGCACGAAAGCGUGGGGAGCAAACAGGAUUAGAUACCCCCGUA